GGGCAGUUAGCUCAGUGGUAGAGCACUGCCUUCACACGGCAGGGGUCACAAGUUCGAACCUUGUACUGCCCACCA
Molecule: transfer RNA, 75 nt
Filed under: Thiobacillus sp.
Lineage: Bacteria; Pseudomonadati; Pseudomonadota; Betaproteobacteria; Nitrosomonadales; Thiobacillaceae
Also listed under: 6 other names
Description: tRNA-Val
Rfam family: tRNA
About the family: Transfer RNA (tRNA) molecules are approximately 80 nucleotides in length. Their secondary structure includes four short double-helical elements and three loops (D, anti-codon, and T loops). Further hydrogen bonds mediate the characteristic L-shaped molecular structure. tRNAs have two regions of fundamental functional importance: the anti-codon, which is responsible for specific mRNA codon recognition, and the 3' end, to which the tRNAs corresponding amino acid is attached (by aminoacyl-tRNA synthetases). tRNAs cope with the degeneracy of the genetic code in two manners: having more than one tRNA (with a specific anti-codon) for a particular amino acid; and 'wobble' base-pairing, i.e. permitting non-standard base-pairing at the 3rd anti-codon position.
Source: RNAcentral